GAUAUGAGUCAAAUUCAUUCUAGUGUCAAAAUUGACUGCAAAGUGUAAAUAGAAUAAUUUUUAUUAUAAAGUCAGUCUCGUCCAAAACAGAGUUUUGUAAGUGCGUUCGUCACGACUUACUAGGGGGUUGGGUAUGGAUUACAUGGCUCACUUUUGCAGAUGAUGCCCAAUUGCCUAGAGACAACACGUUGUCGUACCAUGUGGACAUUUUUGACGUCAAGUCUGCAUAUGGAUACAACACACGCACGUUUCGCUCAGCAAACAGGAGUGAAAAUAGGCUUCCAUAAAGUUGCCGCAAACUCCCAAUGCAUUUCAACAAAAUUGCCAGAUGGCCAGGAAUAGAUUGUACCCGACACAGUCAAUUCUGCUGCCUGUCAACCGUCAAACGACUGGUGUUGGCUACACACAAAACCUGGUGGAUUUGUUGUUCAGCAGCUUCGUGAGUAACCCCAUACCAUAUUAGGAGCUGUUACAGAAGGCUGAGGCAGUGAAGCUGGGUGCCAUAUCGGAGCCGAAGUCGGGCUCCUUCAUGACCAGUAUCUGUGACGAGAGGGGCCUGGAGCUGAUCUACACUGCCAUGCCCAUCAGGCAUCGGCAAACACCUCAGAAGGGACAAAAGGGGAUUACUAAUAAGACAGUACAUCGCAAGUGUUUAGUAAUAUCACCCUUUCGAUACAUGUCACUCGUUAACGCUUCCUCAUUUUUCUACAGCUGGGCAGAAGAGACGCUUUUGAAAUGGAGUCCUCUGACUGAAAGACAAGUUGAUACUGAUGUCUGAAUUGGGAGAGACGUUGCACUCAGCAUUAAAAUUAUACAAGACACAUCUAUUAUUUUGUGUCAUCUUUUGUUACUAUUGAAUUGAA
Salvelinus fontinalis (brook trout) is the source of this 863-nucleotide long non-coding RNA. RefSeq lists it as uncharacterized. Lineage: Eukaryota; Metazoa; Chordata; Actinopteri; Salmoniformes; Salmonidae. The record is from RefSeq and is a predicted model, not a curated record. The transcript has 3 exons.